Long non-coding RNA from Varroa destructor (honeybee mite), 1226 nucleotides. The record is from RefSeq and is a predicted model, not a curated record. Lineage: Eukaryota; Metazoa; Arthropoda; Arachnida; Mesostigmata; Varroidae.
CCCAAUCCUAACCCAAUUCUAGCCGUUGCGUAUAAAAUGCUUAACAUGCUAUUUCAUCAGAAUCGGGAUUAUACCAACAAUUCAUUCUCGGGCGAUAACAAAGUUAUCUAGUUGACAAGGCACAGAUUUGAGUUUAAUGACAUUUGUAAAAACGCAUGCCUUGCCGCUUUGUGAUCAGAAUAUAUAAGUGAUUUGUUAAUUAGUGGUGAACAUUUUAUUAAGUUUUGAAACUAAUGGUAGAAACUAAUGCUUCCCGCACCUUAGGCGUUUUCGACAGAGCCUCUCAAAAAUACAGCUAAAGGUCCACCACCUGGUUUCUUUCACGUACAGAAUCAAUCAAGACAUACAUCAGCAAUUGGGAGCAACAAUUUACAGGGACUGGUGGAAAUUCCUUUGCUUCGGGUGCGAUGAGAAACAACGAGUGGUCAAGGACGAAUUGGCUAGAUGAACAUGUCGUCACUCGCUCUGCCGUGUAUGGUUUUUUUUAUCAUAAACUCUGCAGGAAAUUGAAUUUCUACGAGCCUGACGAUACACAUAGGAGCCUCAAAUGCAGGGAAAAUCGUCGCUUGUGCCCACCUAGCGCCAUCUUUAGGACAUCUGACAAAUUUCUCAAAUUAGUUUUAUCAGUCCAACACAACUUAUAUAGCCCAUAUGACGUAAAAUGUUUCAGUUAUAAAGUUACGUGUGAAUAAAUGAAUAUAUGAAGUUUUUGACUACCAUCAGCAAAGGUGAAUAAAUAGAAUCUGAUUGAGAUGAUUAUGUUGCCGCACUUAACUUUACGUGUAGCCUUCGAAACCACGUCCUGUUAAAACCUUUGAGUGUCGUUUCGUUAUAUGUAGAUGAUCAUACUUGUUUUUCGAUAAAACGGAUACAGAGCCUAAGACAUCAUUCGCAAGAAAAAUAAAACAAUAUUUCUUUUAAAGAUACUAUAGCUCUAUUUAAAGUUCGGACAGGGUUUGAGAUAAUGUCGGUUAAAACAAAUACCUUGUAUACACAUAUCCCAGGUAUAGCAAAACCGACGGCUUUGGUGAAUUCAGUGAAAAUAUAUAGUGUCACAAAAAUUACCUCGCAUUAAAGGGUUCCAUAAAAGAAGAUUCCAGAAGUCAUUAUCUUGGUUUGUAGUUAUAAUGUUCUAGCUGCGACAAUGUAAUGCAAUUUAAAUCUGUUUUCGAAAGGAAGUUAUAUGAUCACAUCGUAAGGAUGUCUACAGAAUUUAUGGUUUAUUG